CAGUAAUUGCAGAUACUGGACACCUGAUACCUGCAACUUGAAGAAGGAUGCAGGAAACCCUGAUGUGAAGCGUUCUCAGGAUGUAGAGGAGAGGUCCGGUCUCAUUCACCCUCCUGAACCUAUAUGGAGCAUUAGAGGAUUAGGAGCUGCAUUGGAGGGAUUUUUUUCUUCUUGUUUAGGAGAAUCUCUCAAUACCACACAGAGUCAUUAAAUUAAAAAAUGAACUGUUUUCAGUUCUGUAUAUUUUUUUAAAAAACAAAGCACAAAAGAACACAAUAAACUACGAUGUAAAGAGG
Molecule: long non-coding RNA, 296 nt
Organism: Acanthochromis polyacanthus (spiny chromis)
Lineage: Eukaryota; Metazoa; Chordata; Actinopteri; Pomacentridae
Exons: 2
Source: RefSeq, a predicted model, not a curated record